UUAGUAGCAGCUUGUGCAGUUGAUGCACAUAGUUUUGUAUUUCCAGUUGCGUACGGUGUGCUGGAGACAGAGUCUGAGGAGAGCUGGACUUGGUUUUUGCAUAAUCUGCGCCGGGCUAUUGCACAUCCCAAUGGGUUGGUCAUUCAUAUAGAUGCCUGCAAAGGUUUAGAAGUGGCCGUGGACAAUGUGUUCCCUGGAGUAGAGCAUAGGGAAUGCAUGCGUCACCUUGCUGCAAAUUUCAUGAAGAAAUUCAAAGGAAAGGUGUAUACCGACAAUUUAUGGCCAACAUCUUUGACUUGCAGUGUGAAGAAGCACAACUACCACUUGAGGCAGUUAUACAUGAAUCCCAAAGUGAAAGAAUAUUUGAAAACACACCACUCCAAGGAAUAG
This 390-nucleotide ribosomal RNA is filed under the name Triticum aestivum (bread wheat). RNAcentral's name for it is "partial small subunit ribosomal RNA". The record is from RNAcentral. Lineage: Eukaryota; Viridiplantae; Streptophyta; Magnoliopsida; Poales; Poaceae.